UCUGAUGGCGCUCGGUCCUGAAGUGUCUUUUUAGGACAAGAAGUUCUCGGAAUUUGUCACAAGCUAAACUGCUUUCUAUAAAAAGAACGGAAGACCGUAGGAUGACUCUCUGUAUGGGAUCUGCUCAGCCGAUGUCUGAGUGUCGAAGGAACUCCUGGAGCAUCAACUUAGAGAUGAAUGAAUGCUGUUUGAGGACCUCAUUAAAGAUGGAUGCAGCCGCCACCUGAGGCUCCUCCGAGCACUGAGGAAACCAUGUGAUUUCCCCUGACUGAGUCCUGUGUUCCUGCAUUGAGUGAAGAGUUAAGUCUGCGGCCGUGAGCUGAUGGCAUUCACACAAGGGGGCCAAGAUGGAGACUGCUCUUCUGUCUGGUCCACACAUGAGCAAGAAAAGAGGUGGUGUUGACAGCUCCACAGAUAUACAAGUGUGGCAGCCCAAGCUGGGAGACAUUCAGAGCCAACGAAUGGACCAGGUGCUGCAGCUUAUGAGGUGGGAAGCUUCAGAGGUGGUCAGUAUCAAGCCAUCCAGGAAAUGGAAGUGUCCCCAGAAGUUGGAAGCUUCAUCAAAGUCUAUUUAUUUAUUUAUUUUAAGAGUCAGCCUCUUAAAAUGUUCUCUGCAAUAUGUUGAAGUACAUCCAAGCUUUUAAGAGUAGUUCACACUGAGUAGCUCAAUGAUGUUCAUUGAUGGCUUGAACCUUUGUCAUGCAGAUGUAUGUAAGGAAACUUAAUAAAGUGGUUGACAACACA
Long non-coding RNA from Toxotes jaculatrix (banded archerfish), 744 nucleotides. RefSeq lists it as uncharacterized. NCBI's taxonomy places the organism in Eukaryota, Metazoa, Chordata, Actinopteri, Toxotidae. The record is from RefSeq and is a predicted model, not a curated record. The transcript is spliced from 7 exons.